ACAGACAGAGCCAAAGUGUCUUUACCAUUAGUCCUCAUUAGACACAGCGCACAACCUAGCGACCGCUCCGAUGUUAUCUUUAAAACAACGGGGAUGAUAUACUAGUCCUUGUAGGUUUUGAUUGACUUUCAAGGCAAUCUUACCUAGAUUUGUUUCCUACUGAGUGAAAUCUCCACGGGGCCUCCGGAUAAAAUUAUCACUGACAUCAGGAAGGAAAAACACUAACAAUUUUGGAAUGGCUACAGUUAACAAAGGGAAUCUAAAUGCCAAUGCUUCCCCUAAACAGUGGGGAGACGAUCACCAGCACACAGCACUGGCAGGAUAUGCAACAUGCAUCUCAAGUAUCUAGAACAUUCCAGAGCCCUCAACAGUGCCGUUCCAGUGGGCUAUCCUAUAACAGCCCCUUCGUGGCACAGAACUAGGCUUACAAAAGAACCCAUCCAGAGCCUCCCUGUGGUUGCCGUGCACCCAGGUGAGGAGAACGCUAUGCCCGAGGUAUCCCAUGAAUUUCCCAGAGAACAAAGCUUGAGUUUGACAGCUGCAAGAAGAGCAACCCAUCGGGGCAAAAGCAGGUCUCCCCACAAGAAGCAAACUGUCCUGAAGAUACCAACUCACUGUGUGGCCAGUUCAGCACAAACGCCGAGGGGCAACUGGGGACCUGCACAAAGAAGAUGUCUACAAUAAAAGCAAUGGGAAAUGCAUACUUGAAGGUUUUUCAGCGCUACCCACAGCAACACUGAAGACAGCUCUCGAAGCAUCAUCUGCCAGUCCCCCAGCAGAAAGACUAAAUUAAGUACAUUGUGAUCACGGUUCCUAGACUUUCUCAGGAGCUGGGAAGCCUUCCGUCCACCAGCCAUCCAGAGCCUGCUCUCAAAUAGACUACUAGUUAGUAUUUGACUUAUUUAAAACAUCCUAACGAAGAAAUCUGAAUGUUUCAGCGGAGGUGGAGCUUGGGUCACCAGGCUCCCAGGCAGGACAGCUUUUGAAGACUUUCAGAGUCUAUAGAAGAGAAACGAAGACUAGGAAGAAAAAGUGUCCAGGUCCACCCAGGACUGAGAGUUUCCUCAGAAUGUAGGGCGUUAGUGCUGGCAACCCUUCUGAUAGGCCAGUGCCUGGCCCCAGAGACCAAGCCCAUGGGAAAACAACAGAAUGAUUGCAGGAAUGUUAAACACACCCUAUGCGUACCAACGACCUUUCAGUGAAAGCGGCUACAAAGACCGACCCCCAUCUUUUUACAGUACUUCUCUAGAUGGCUGUGUCUCUAAGAGGAUCCUGGUGGGAUUUCAGAGAUUGAAAUGGAAGAACAGAGAUUCUGUUCUUCCGACAGAAGCCCUUCAGGUUCUGAGCAGAAAGCAUCAAGGGGGAACAGCAGGGCUACAGUGUCAUAACAGUCUAGGCCAAGGCAUAGGGACUAGUGUGUCAAUGCCUCAGGAGGGAUAGGUCCUAAGACUUCUACACAAAGCCAGAGAUUUGUAAAGGCUACUGACUGACUGUAUGUCACCAAUUAAUUCAGUGAAGGAGUCCCAAAACACAUGCUGGUGAAGGCUGGGGGAGGGGAAGGCCGGGGGAUUGCUAGUAACCAAAUCUCUGAAGCCGCCCUAUAUGCACUAGCAAAAGCUAACUUCAUACUAUUUACACAGUUUGGGAUCCCACAUCAUAAAAUUCAUGUAAAGACCAACGUUAGGUCCAAAAAUAAUUCCCAGGAAACUGGAAGAAACUAACAUAAAACAAGCUUUUAAGAACUAUGCUCUAAACCACAGCACUUGGCACUACAGCGAAGAUAAAUGGCCCAGUUGAAAAUGAGCUCAAACUUCUAAAAAAAAAAAAUCAUUUUUAAGGUGUAAUUUUUAAAAAAGAAAAUAAAUUCUCAAAAACCAAAAAUUAGAAACACAUGACAAAGAGAUCAACUGUGGAGUCGGCCACAGAAACACAAGGGGCUGAUAGCACCCAAGAUCUUUGACACACAGAGUCAACGGCCCACUCAGAGGCCGGCAGCCUUUUAAAUGUUGGGAGAUGCAAAGGAAAGACCAGAAACCACAGGAACAGAUCAACUUGAAGUAGAACCAGAGAGAACAUCAAGGGACUGAAAACACAACCAAUGAAAUCAAAAGAGAGUUGGGGUUGAAAAAGAGAGUCAACACAAUGAAAACCAGUGAAAAAAUGACCCCCAAGGAACUGUGGUGAAAUCCAGAAAAACAAAUAAUACCACUUAAGACCUCUACCACCACUGGUGUGACUUGAGUGUGCGCAGGGCUCUAAGAAUUGUGCCGUGGUAGCUGGGUGCCAUGGUAGCUGGGUGUGGUGGUGCCUGACUCUAAUCUCAGUGCUUGGAAGGAUGAGGUAAGGGAAUCAAAAUUCAAGGGCAGCCUGAGCUACAGAUAAUUCCAAAACAAUCCAGGCUAGAUAGAGAAAGCCUAUUUCAAAAAGAAAAAAAAAAAUUUUUUUUUUUUUAAUAGAGAGGCUGGGAAGGUGGCUCAGCGGUUAAGAGCACUUGCCAACACCCUUCCAGAGGACCCAGGUUCAGAUCCCACCACCCACAUGGUGCCUCACAGUUCUUAGGGACUCAAUGCUCUCUCCUGACCUCCAUGGGCACGGCACACAUGUGAUGUAGAAGACAUACAUGCAGACAAAAAAACCCAUAUGUAUAAAAUAAAAUUAAAUUUAAAAAAGAAAAAGAAAUAUGCCCUUUCAUUUUCACGAUACAUUUAUUUGAGGCUGCUGAACUUGAAAAUACCAAAUGGUUACUAAUAGUGUAAAAAUUCCUCCUUCCUUUCCAUAACCAUAAAAAACUCUUGUUAAACACUCUUUUCUCAAUUUCGUUAUACACAUUAUUAUCUUUAAUACCAUUUAACCUUUGUAUGGCAUUUCACACUGUAAAUUGCAUUUUUAACACAGUAAUCACAACUUUAAAAGGAUUCUUUUUUUAAAACACGAUUCACAUUACCCUAGUUUCAUUAAUUUGAUCAAAGUCACUACAAAUUUUGAACCAUGAAGAUUUUCAUGGGGCAGCCAUAAAAUAUUUAACAACGCAGAUACUUACAAAGACAGCUAAUUACAACAGGAAUAUCUUACUCUGUAUCUAACCUGAAAAUCGACCAUAAUAUAAUUUUUUAAUAAAAAUAAUUUUAAUGAGAGACCCAUUGUUUAAUCUAUCCCUUAAACCAUUGACCACACAUAUUCUAAACACAGUUCUCAGACACAAACCAGUUCCAUACUAUUUUUACCAGUAGGAGGUCAUACGAUCCGAACUAAAAUUUAGUUAUAAAAGAUCAUUAAACAGACUGACUAUUAGCACCUUUAUUAUAAACUGUAUUCUCAUUUACACACUAAUACAAUUGUAAAUACUAUCUGCUUAUUUGAUCAAGAGAGAUCAUGGCAAAGGUCAUCCCUGAUUAGGAAACAACACUCGUCGUCCCUUUGGUACUUAUUUACAUCUUCAUAAAAUUCAAUAUGUCAAAGGAAGGGAGACUAUGACAUUAUCUGUCAUCAGUCAAUAAAAUAUUAAGGAUCCACGUGAGCUUAAGAAAAUUUGAGAGCAGGAGCUGGGAGAGAGCUCACACUAUUAAAGUGUUUUCAUCCCAAGUAGGAGGAUCUCAACUCAAAACCUUGAAAACCAGAAAGGUACAGUAGUGUAUGUCUGUAACCCCAAACCCACAGAGGUGCUAACAGUAGGACCCCUGGGGUUCGAGGGCCUGCCAGCCUCCAGGACUUGGUGAUCCCCAAACCAAUCAGACACUUUGUCUUAGAGAAUCAGGGACAUUACUGAGGAAUGACACCUGAUUCUGACCUCUGACCUACACAUACAAACAAAUGCACAUGCACUCACACACAUACAUGUACACACACACAUACACACGUAAUUAUACACACUCACACACAAACUGAGAUCACUGUUAAGCUGGACUUUUACUUAUUAAGAUAGCAGUAUUUUUGAAAAAAAACUCAGAAUAUAAUUUCGUGAACUUGUUGACAGUUCACAUAUGAUUCUGUAAAAUUUUAUAUUUGAAUGUGAGGAUAUACUUGUUAGUCCAGUAAGUAAUUCUGUACAUCUUUAAAUGGGAGUGUGUGGAAAUUAGGUUUAACGAGGCAAGCAAGAAAUAUAUGAUUUUGUAAUAUUCCUUAUUUUAAAAAAGACUUGGGAAAAAUAUUAAAACAGAAGAGUUUCUUAA
This is a long non-coding RNA of Peromyscus californicus insignis, 4169 nucleotides long. RefSeq lists it as uncharacterized. Lineage: Eukaryota; Metazoa; Chordata; Mammalia; Rodentia; Cricetidae. The transcript is spliced from 2 exons. The record is from RefSeq and is a predicted model, not a curated record.